Molecule: long non-coding RNA, 3681 nt
Filed under: Betta splendens (Siamese fighting fish)
Lineage: Eukaryota; Metazoa; Chordata; Actinopteri; Anabantiformes; Osphronemidae
Description: lncRNA (ENSBSLG00000013798.1)
Source: RNAcentral
AUGAGCGGAGUGCGUAAUAAAGCAGAUGAUAUCACUGAAGCUAUAUCAACGGGAACAUGCUAUAUUGUGCUGGAAAGGUUCCCUCCAGACUAUGUACAGACGGUAGCGCGGUAUCUUGAAUCAUCUGUGCCACAAAACAAUUGUGAUGCCACGCGUGACGACCCAAAAGAAACAGAAAGCAGUGAUUCGGGAGACAGCGUGUUCAUCACCCAGAAGCCGGUCCCGGAGCCUGUGAGAAGCAGCAGACGGCAUCGCAAAACUCCAACAUCUCCAAAAGAUCUAGAAGAAAGUGAAGAUUCGUCUUCCUCCCAAAAUGCCACAACGUCUAACAAGAAAAGGAAAAAAAAGAAUGUUAGGCUGCCAAAGUACACCUUUCCUUUUGUUAAAGAGAAGCAGUGGAUGGGAAGGAGAUCAGUUUUGACUGGCCAGCAGAAUAAAAAGCUUCACAAUGCCAUGAUGGGAGGCUUCUUUAAAUGUGUGAGGGAGCUGUGGCACGGCUAUAAAGGUGUAUAUAUGGACAUGUCUCUACCCACAGUUGACAUGGAUGGGGAUAUUCUAUCUCCACUGUCAGAAGAAGAAGAAGAGAGGUCAGAAAAGGAGGACAUCAAAGUGGUGGAAAAGCGUUUUCUAGCUGCAUCAAAAGCAAUGUGCACCCAAGCAUGGUACACUCCAGGAAAGAUGGAAGGCCACAUAAAGCAACAGAGCAGGAGGAGGAGAGCCAGUAGCACCAGCCAAGACGUGUCCCAAGACCAAACGAUGACAAUUCAACAGUCAACCAGCAGAUCCAUAACAACGGCUACUCCGUUGUUGAGUGAUAAAGAUGGACAUCCUUGUAGAGAUUUGCCUCAGCAGGAGAAUGGAGAUCCUGAACAUGAGAUACAUCAAAAAAGCAUUCCUGGACAAACCGAACUGUCAAAGACAAAGAGACGUCUUACUGGAGGGAAGAAAAUGAUUCUCUUUCAGAAAAAUGAACGAGAGGAAGAGUUGUACAGCGACAGUGAUGCUACUGUGUGUGAUGCUCUACAGCUUCAUGGAAGUCCAAGCAAGCACACACAAGGAGGCAAAGAGGCAGUCAACACUGCAACACAGGCUCAAGUCGAUGUUUUCCAAAUGGAUGAACUAAGCCAGGGCAGACAAGAAGAGGAGGAACCUGAAAGUCAAAGUGUCCUCCACGGUCUUCCACAGUUUGUGGGUGACACCAACAGUGUUAUUGUAUGUGCUGAAUCUACCCCGAAAAAGAAGAAAAAAAACACUGUAACACAGGCUCAAGCUGAUGUUUUCCAAAUUGAUGAACUAAGCCAGACCAGACAAGAAGAGGAGGAACCUGAAAGUCAAAGUGUCCUCCAGGGUCUUCCACAGUUUGUGGGUGACACUAAUAAUGUUAUUUCAUGUGCUGAAAGCACCUUGAAGAAGAAGAAAAACACUGUAACACAGGCUCAAGUGGACGUUUUCCAGAUGGAUGAACUAAGCCAGACCAGACAAGAAGAGGAGGAACCUGAAAGUCAAAGUGUCCUCCACGGUCAUCCACAGUUUGUGGGUGACCCCAACAGUGUUAUUGUAUGUGCUGAAUCUACCCCGAAAAAGAAGAAAAAAAACACUGUAACACAGGCUCAAGCUGAUGUUUUCCAAAUUGAUGAACUAAGCCAGACCAGACAAGAAGAGGAGGAACCUGAAAGUCAAAGUGUCCUCCAGGGUCUUCCACAGUUUGUGGGUGACACUAAUAAUGUUAAUGUAUUUGUUGAAUCCACCCUGAAGAAGAAGAAGAAGAAGAAGAAAAAGAAGAAAAACACUGUAACACAGGCUCAAGCCCAUGUUUUCCAAAUUGAUGAACUAAGCCAGACCAGACAAGAAGAGGAGGAACCUGAAAGUCAAAGUGUCCUCCAGGGUCUUCCACAGUUUGUGGGUGACACUAAUAAUGUUAUUGUAUGUGCUGAAAGCACCUUGAAGAAGAAGAAAAACACUGUAACACAGGCUCAAGUGGACGUUUUCCAGAUGGAUGAACUAAGCCAGACCAGACAAGAAGAGGAGGAACCUGAAAGUCAAAGUGUCCUCCACGGUCUUCCACAGUUUGUGGGUGACACCAACAGUGUUAUUGUAUGUUCUGAAUCUACCCCGAAGAAGAAGAAAAAGAAGAAAAAAAACACUGUAACACAGGCUCAAGCCCAUGUUUUUCAAAUUGAUGAACUAAGCCAGACCAGACAAGAAGAGGAGGAACCUGAAAGUCAAAGUGUCCUCCAGGGUCUUCCACAGUUUGUGGGUGACACUAAUAAUGUUAAUGUAUUUGUUGAAUCCACCCUGAAGAAGAAGAAGAAGAAAAAGAAGAAAAACACUGUAACACAGGCUCAAGCCGAUGUUUUCCAAAUGGAUGAACUAAGCCAGACCAGACAAAAAGAGGAGGAACCUGAAAGUCGAAGUCUCCUCCAGAGUCUUCCACAGUUUGUGAGUGACGCCAAUAAUGUUAUUGUAUGUGCUGAAUCCACACCAAAGAAGAAGAAAAAGAAGAAAAACAAAAACAUCAAAGCCAAAGGAGAUCGUGAUAGUGUAGAAGAAGCAGCAGGUCAGAAUCAGGAAGAGCCAGAAGGUCUGCACGCUGCAGAAUCUGUAAAUGUGGAGGCAGAAGAGACUUUUAGUCGGUCAGACAACAAUGAUAACAUGUCGAUGCAGGAGAAGAGACUUGAUUCAACUCAACAGAAAAGAAAGAGAAAAAGGGGUAAGUUAUUUGCUGAAAAUAUUAGACAAGAGGUGGGAGAACACUUGGAGCCUGGUGUGAGUUUAGAGGAAUCUGAGGCUUCUGUGAUGUGUAACAUUGAGAAUGCCAAGAAGAUAAAAAAGAAGAAAGGUGUUGAUGAUGCUGAGGGUGUUGAACAGUUGGAGUCCACUGAAGCUGCCACAACUAAAAAUGAUGGACAAAAGAAAAUGAAAAAACUGAAACACAAAAGUAUAAAACGGUCAUCCUCACUUGAAGAUAAUCAAUGUGAAAAUGAUGCAAAAGUGAGAUUGUCUAAUGAGGGAGCAACCUUGGAAGAACAUGUAGUGAAAAAAAGGAAGAAAGAAAGCAUCUCUCAGGGAGUUUCUAUUUCUUACACUCCUGACAAAAGCGAUAAGGUUGAAUGUAUAGAUUCUAAUGAGCAAGAUGAACAAUUAUGUAAGAAGAAAAAGAAAAAGAGGAGGCGAGAGAAAUUUGGUGAAUUAUCUAACGAACAGGCCUCAAAAGAUACUGUAGCACAGAGCCAUGAGGCAGUAUCUGUGAGGAAAAAGGAAAAGAGGACGACCUCUUCCUUCCUUCAAGCUGAUUCAGGGGAAAAAGAUGUUGAGUUGCAUCAGCAGCAAAACAACUCAAAAACAGUAGCACCUGGUGUCUGUGACUUUGAGGCCGAAUCAGCGGAAAUUGUUGGAAAUUCUGGUGAUGGAGUCAGCAAAAAGAAGAAAAGAAAGAGGAAGACAAUGGAGACUCAGGACAAUGUGGAAGACGAUCAGGGGACUGAGUUUGAGGAACCAAACAAAAUGUGCAGGAGUGUUUUAACUGAAACAGGGAUAAAGAAAAGGAAGAAAAGUAAAAGUAAAUCUGUGUCAAUGGACAGACUGGACAGUGCAGUUGAUGUAGGGCGAUUUCAAGCUGAGGAAGACAUGAUGCAGAAAAAGAAAAAGAACAAGAAAAUAUUUAACGAACUGAAAAUGUAA